Molecule: unclassified non-coding RNA, 555 nt
Filed under: Bombus terrestris (buff-tailed bumblebee)
Lineage: Eukaryota; Metazoa; Arthropoda; Insecta; Hymenoptera; Apidae
Description: misc RNA ENSBTSG00005021029.1
Source: RNAcentral
GAGCGUGACUGUGUGUGCGAAAGUGAAUUUUCUGAAGGGUGAACAGCGCGUGAUCAGAAUUUAAAAAGACAUAAGAGAGCACAGUCAUAGGAAAACCUCUAUCCGUGAAACCGAAGUACGUUUGAACGUUGAAUGUAAUUUCAAUGGAUCCACCAUCUAUCGCACCGGAAGCACCAGCCGUUUGAAAACGAUGCAGAAUAACACGCGGGAAAAAAGAAAACAAAAUACAAGUUCCACGGAAAUCCAACGUAUUGAGGGAAACAAAGCGAGAAAAAAGAAGGAACAAAGAGAGAGUUAGGAUGGAAAGAGGUAGAAGAAUACGACGAAGACUCGCGACGCACGGUUGCAUACGUGUUUACGUCAAACAUAUCCAAGGCAAAGCGAUGCUUUUUCUAUUUGCAUGCUCGACUGCGGGAUCAAACUGCGAGCAAGUUUCUGAUGGAGUUUGUAACGGACGCGGAAAAGAACGACCUGUUUGUUAUAUAGCUCCGUCUACGUAUUGCUUCAGAGACUUAUAAACGAAUAGAGUGAGAGUAAAGGCCUGUGUACAAGCAG